GAUGAACGCUGGCGGCGUGCCUAAUACAUGCAAGUCGAGCGAACAGACGAGGAGCUUGCUCCUCUGACGUUAGCGGCGGACGGGUGAGUAACACGUGGAUAACCUACCUAUAAGACUGGGAUAACUUCGGGAAACCGGAGCUAAUACCGGAUAAUAUUUUGAACCGCAUGGUUCAAUAGUGAAAGAUGGCUUUGCUAUCACUUAUAGAUGGAUCCGCGCCGUAUUAGCUAGUUGGUAAGGUAACGGCUUACCAAGGCAACGAUACGUAGCCGACCUGAGAGGGUGAUCGGCCACACUGGAACUGAGACACGGUCCAGACUCCUACGGGAGGCAGCAGUAGGGAAUCUUCCGCAAUGGGCGAAAGCCUGACGGAGCAACGCCGCGUGAGUGAUGAAGGUCUUCGGAUCGUAAAACUCUGUUAUUAGGGAAGAACAAACGUGUAAGUAACUAUGCACGUCUUGACGGUACCUAAUCAGAAAGCCACGGCUAACUACGUG
This 497-nucleotide ribosomal RNA is filed under the name uncultured bacterium. Its description in RNAcentral is "partial 16S ribosomal RNA". It matches the Rfam family "Bacterial small subunit ribosomal RNA", at positions 28 to 507 of the family's 1533-position model. The record is from RNAcentral.